This 253-nucleotide ribosomal RNA is filed under the name uncultured bacterium. Its description in RNAcentral is "partial 16S ribosomal RNA". It matches the Rfam family "Bacterial small subunit ribosomal RNA", at positions 524 to 776 of the family's 1533-position model. The record is from RNAcentral.
UACGUAGGGGGCAAGCGUUGUCCGGAUUUAUUGGGCGUAAAGAGCGUGUAGGCGGCCAGACAGGUCCGUUGUGAAAACUCGAGGCUCAACCUCGAGACGCCGAUGGAAACCGUUUGGCUAGAGUCCGGAAGAGGAGAGUGGAAUUCCUGGUGUAGCGGUGAAAUGCGCAGAUAUCAGGAAGAACACCGGUGGCGAAGGCGGGACUCUGGGCCGAUACUGACGCUGAGGAGCGAAAGCGUGGGGAGCGAACAGG